AUCCCUGUAGGACAAUAGGCAGCGCAUUGGACUUCCAAUCCAAAUGUCGUGGAUUCGAAUCACACCUGGGAUU
This is a non-coding RNA of Trichonephila clavata, 73 nucleotides long. Lineage: Eukaryota; Metazoa; Arthropoda; Arachnida; Araneae; Nephilidae. The record is from the annotation of a GenBank genome assembly.